AUUUCUCAGCCCUUGACCACGACUCACCUGAACUUGUCCUCAGCAAGCUUUAUAAGGAUUUGCUGCCGAGACUAGCUUUGGAACAGAUUUCCCAUAGCAUGCAGAUGAUUUGUACCAUUGUACAGAUUUGUGAUCCAAGAAAAAUAGAAGUUCCAUAGGGAGAAAAUAAUAAAGAGAAGCACCAAAAGAAAUACCCAUUUCACACAGAUAUUGGGAGUCAGCUUGUGGUGGCCAACAAGGCUACAAGAGUUGGUGGCAGAAAAAGAAAUGAUUAGUAACUGUGCAGAAUUGUGACUUCAGAGGAACUAAAAAACAACUGCAGUGCUAAACAACAGCCAAAGUUUGGAGCACCACUGGGCACACAGAAAUGAGGAUGGAGUGGUGAGUGAGAAGAAUCUUUGUAGGCUUCCAAGCAAUCAGUUUUCACGAGUGUCAAUUAAAGAGUUGCAAAUAUCUAUUUUCAGGCAAACUUUGUCUUACUGAGAUUGAUAAAAUAGUCUUUUGAUAGUUCUGCAAAAAAUUAAUAAUAUUCUGUUAUUUCUUAGCUCAUCAAAAGAGUUCUCAUGUUUCUCAGCCAGUUCCAUUUUUGUCAUGAAUAAAUGGCUUUUUCUCUAACAUAAGAAUAUACAUAUGUGAAUGAAUCUAUAUGACUACAUGAAUUAGCAACAGAGUACCUCAUAUUUACUAUUCCUUCAUGAAUGGAAGAAUUUAGAUUCCCUUUAGUGAAAAAUAUUUUUUAAAUAGAAAUAUUUAGCAGAUGGUUUCAACCAAAUCCAGGAACUUCUCACUUUUCUUUGUAAGACACUAAAACAACAUAAUGCUGAAACCAUUGUUUCCUUUGUAUUGUCCAUGACUCACUUGAUUUAGGAUGGUUAAAGUACAUCUGAAUGAGAGCUUAAACAAAUAGUUCAACUCAAUUAUGCAGAGAGUAAGCUUAGGCAAAUGUUUUAUAACACAGCAUCACAUAUUGAUAGCACUGAAUUGUGAAUUUUGAUGCUACUACAUUUUCUGGCAGAUAAAUUUUGGGUUUUGAUUUUUUUUUCCUUUGUUCCAUCAUGUUCGUUUGUUUG
Molecule: long non-coding RNA, 1070 nt
Organism: Tympanuchus pallidicinctus (lesser prairie-chicken)
Lineage: Eukaryota; Metazoa; Chordata; Aves; Galliformes; Phasianidae
Exons: 3
Source: RefSeq, a predicted model, not a curated record